AACGAACGCUGGCGGCAGGCCUAACACAUGCAAGUCGAGCGAGGACUUCGGUCCUAGCGGCGGACGGGUGAGUAACGCGUGGGAACGUGCCCUUUGCUUCGGAAUAGCCCUGGGAAACUGGGAUUAAUACCGGAUGAGCCCUUUGGGGGAAAGAUUUAUCGGCGAAGGAUCGGCCCGCGUUGGAUUAGGUAGUUGGUGGGGUAAUGGCCUACCAAGCCGACGAUCCAUAGCUGGUUUGAGAGGAUGAUCAGCCACACUGGGACUGAGACACGGCCCAGACUCCUACGGGAGGCAGCAGUGGGGAAUCUUAGACAAUGGGGGAAACCCUGAUCUAGCCAUGCCGCGUGAGCGAUGAAGGCCUUAGGGUUGUAAAGCUCUUUCAGCUGGGAAGAUAAUGACGGUACCAGCAGAAGAAGCCCCGGCUAACUCCGUG
RNAcentral lists this ribosomal RNA (433 nucleotides) under uncultured bacterium. Its description in RNAcentral is "partial 16S ribosomal RNA". It matches the Rfam family "Bacterial small subunit ribosomal RNA", at positions 29 to 507 of the family's 1533-position model. The record is from RNAcentral.